This 253-nucleotide ribosomal RNA is filed under the name uncultured bacterium. RNAcentral describes it as "partial 16S ribosomal RNA". It matches the Rfam family "Bacterial small subunit ribosomal RNA", at positions 524 to 776 of the family's 1533-position model. The record is from RNAcentral.
UACGAGGGGGGCUAGCGUUGUUCGGAAUUACUGGGCGUAAAGCGCGCGCAGGCGGCUAUCCAAGUCAGUGGUGAAAGCCCGGAGCUCAACUCCGGAACUGCCAUUGAAACUGUUUAGCUUGAGGACGAGAGAGGUGAGUGGAAUUCCCAGUGUAGAGGUGAAAUACGUAGAGAUUGGGAAGAACACCAGUGGCGAAGGCGGCUAUCUGGACGGUUUCUGACGCUAAGACGCGAAAGCGUGGGGAGCAAACAGG